UACAGAGGUCUCAAGCGUUGUUCGGAUUCAUUGGGCGUAAAGGGUGCGUAGGCGGCGCGGUAAGUCGGGUGUGAAAUCUCGGGGCUUAACUCCGAAACUGCAUUCGAUACUGCCGUGCUUGAGGACUGGAGAGGAGACUGGAAUUUACGGUGUAGCGGUGAAGUGCGUAGAUAUCGUAAGGAAGACCAGUGGCGAAGGCGGGUCUCUGGACAGUUCCUGACGCUGAGGCACGAAGGUCAGGGGAGCGAACAGG
RNAcentral lists this ribosomal RNA (253 nucleotides) under uncultured bacterium. Its description in RNAcentral is "partial 16S ribosomal RNA". It matches the Rfam family "Bacterial small subunit ribosomal RNA", at positions 524 to 776 of the family's 1533-position model. The record is from RNAcentral.